GAUGAACGCUGGCGGCGUGCCUAAUACAUGCAAGUCGAGCGAAUGGAUUAAGAGCUUGCUCUUAUGAAGUUAGCGGCGGACGGGUGAGUAACACGUGGGUAACCUGCCCAUAAGACUGGGAUAACUCCGGGAAACCGGGGCUAAUACCGGAUAACAUUUUGAACCGCAUGGUUCGAAAUUGAAAGGCGGCGUCGGCUGUCACCUAUGGCUGGACCCGCGUCGCAUUAGCUAGUUGGUGAGGUAACGGCUCACCAAGGCAACGAUGCGUAGCCGACCUGAGAGGGUGAUCGGCCACACUGGGACUGAGACACGGCCCAGACUCCUACGGGAGGCAGCAGUAGGGAAUCCUCCGCAAUGGACGAAAGUCUGACGGAGCAACGCCGCGUGAGUGAUGAAGGCUUUCGGGUCGUAAAACUCUGUUGUUAGGGAAGAACAAGUGCUAGUUGAAUAAGCUGGCACCUUGACGGUACCUAACCAGAAAGCCACGGCUAACUACGUGCCAGCCGCCGCCGUAA
RNAcentral lists this ribosomal RNA (515 nucleotides) under uncultured bacterium. RNAcentral describes it as "partial 16S ribosomal RNA". It matches the Rfam family "Bacterial small subunit ribosomal RNA", at positions 28 to 523 of the family's 1533-position model. The record is from RNAcentral.